This 465-nucleotide ribosomal RNA is filed under the name Vreelandella stevensii. RNAcentral's name for it is "partial 16S ribosomal RNA". It matches the Rfam family "Bacterial small subunit ribosomal RNA", at positions 338 to 795 of the family's 1533-position model. The record is from RNAcentral. Lineage: Bacteria; Pseudomonadati; Pseudomonadota; Gammaproteobacteria; Oceanospirillales; Halomonadaceae.
CCUACGGGAGGCUGCAGUGGGGAAUAUUGGACAAUGGGGGGAACCCUGAUCCAGCCAUGCCGCGUGUGUGAAGAAGGCCCUCGGGUUGUAAAGCACUUUCAGUGAGGAAGAACGCCUGGUGGUUAAUACCCAUCAGGAAAGACAUCACUCACAGAAGAAGCACCGGCUAACUCCGUGUCAGCAGCCGCGGUAAUACGGAGGGUGCGAGCGUUAAUCGGAAUUACUGGGCGUAAAGCGCGCGUAGGUGGCUUGAUAAGCCGGUUGUGAAAGCCCCGGGCUCAACCUGGGAACGGCAUCCGGAACUGUCAAGCUAGAGUGCAGGAGAGGAAGGUAGAAUUCCCGGUGUAGCGGUGAAAUGCGUAGAGAUCGGGAGGAAUACCAGUGGCGAAGGCGGCCUUCUGGACUGACACUGACACUGAGGUGCGAAAGCGUGGGUAGCAAACAGGAUUAGAUACCCCUGUAGUC